AAAGCAGGCUGCCUACAUCACUUGGUGACAUUUUGCUUCCCUAGCUAAUGGUAUAUUUGACUAUACUCAGGAGGGGUUGUGGAUGUAGGUAACAGAGGCAUUGGGCUUUGAAGAGAUUCUUGAGGAUUCCUUCCCAUGGGAUGGGAGCCUUCUGUAUAUUCACCAGUGGGGAUCACUAUGGUCUCCUACCACCCCAGACUUCUUUCCCUGAUGCUCGUGUUUCUUGGCCUGACCUUUAAGCCUCUUAUGAGAAGGAGCUGGGUCUUGUUCAGUUUUGCAUCCCCAGUUCCUAGUAGAAUGUCUGGAAGGCACAUUUCCAGAUCCAGACACCAAGAGUAAAAGCAGCUCUCUGCCCAGCCUCAAACAUGUGGGGCUCCUAAUGAAGGGGGUGGAGGUAAGCGCCACACAGAAAGAUGAGAGCCUUGUCCCGGCCUCCAUCGUCUGAGCAGAUGAAGUGGGAGGAUCUCUCUCCGGCCAAGCCUGAGGACCCUUUGUGCGCUUAUCUCAAAGGACAUCCAUCAGCAGAUAAUUUUUGCAGAAAUGCUCUGUGGCCUAGCUCCAUCUCCAGCCUCGGCCUUUGCUCAUUUGGUGCGCAGCAAUGCUGCAGGAUACAGAAGCAUCUGAGUGGAGAAGGCAGGCGAUGCUUCUGGAAUCCUGACACUUUAGAGGUGGUGUGCGUUGGACUGUGGUCCCCUAAAAGGAUAGGAUGAAGUACUACUCCUCUGGACCUCAAAUGUGACCUUAUUUGGAAAUGGAGCUGAUGCAGCUAUGAUGGUUCACUGAAGUCAUAUGACGGCAGACCCCUAAUUCAAUAUGGCAUCCUCAUAAGACAAUGUUUCUCAACCUUCCUAAUGCUGCGACCCUUUAACACAGUUC
Long non-coding RNA from Mus musculus (house mouse), 876 nucleotides. RefSeq annotates it as predicted gene, 46278. The transcript is spliced from 3 exons. Lineage: Eukaryota; Metazoa; Chordata; Mammalia; Rodentia; Muridae. The record is from RefSeq and is a predicted model, not a curated record.